RNAcentral lists this ribosomal RNA (497 nucleotides) under uncultured bacterium. RNAcentral's name for it is "partial 16S ribosomal RNA". It matches the Rfam family "Bacterial small subunit ribosomal RNA", at positions 28 to 507 of the family's 1533-position model. The record is from RNAcentral.
GAUGAACGCUGGCGGCGUGCCUAAUACAUGAAAGUCGAGCGAACGGACGAGAAGCUUGCUUCUCUGAUGUUAGCGGCGGACGGGUGAGUAACACGUGGAUAACCUACCUAUAAGACUGGGAUAACUUCGGGAAACCGGAGCUAAUACCGGAUAAUAUUUUGAACCGCAUGGUUCAAAAGUGAAAGACGGUCUUGCUGUCACUUAUAGCUGGAUCCGCGCUGCAUUAGCUAGUUGGUAAGGUAACGGCUUACCAAGGCAACGAUGCAUAGCCGACCUGAGAGGGUGAUCGGCCACACUGGAACUGAGACACGUUCCAGAUUCCUACGGGAGCCAGCAGUAGCGUAUCGUCCGCAAUGGGCGAAAGCCUGACGGAGCAACGCCGCGUGAGUGAUGAAGUUCUUCUGAUCGUAAAACUCUGUUAUUAGCGAAGAACAUAUGUGUAAGUAACUGUGCACAUCUUGACGGUACCUAAUCAGAAAGCCACGGCUAACUACGUG